GCAGCAGGCUGUUUCAUCGUUCUCCUCGGAGCAUAGUCGAAGAGGGGAAAGGAAAGUCCGGACAACAUAGAGCGCCAUGCUUCCUAACGGGAAGAUAUCCGCGAGGGUAUAGUAGUGUAACAGAAAAUAACCUCCCCUUCGGCUUUGCUCAGGGGAAAGGGUGAAAAGGUGAGGUAAGAGCUCACCGGUCAUGGUGGUGACACUGUGAGCCGUACACCUUAUGGGUUGAAAGACCAUGUAUACCGGCGCCAAGGACUGCUCGUCCGAUGCCGGGGGGUAGGUCGUAUGAUCCCGUAAGUGAUUGCGGGACAAGAUAAAUGAUGGAAACCGGUUCAAAUGUCUUUUGCAGAUGAACGAACAGGAACAGAAUCCGGCUUACAGGCCGGCUGUAAAC
RNAcentral lists this RNase P RNA (394 nucleotides) under Bacteroidales bacterium. RNAcentral's name for it is "RNase P RNA component class A". It matches the Rfam family "Bacterial RNase P class A". From Rfam's summary of the family: Ribonuclease P (RNase P) is a ubiquitous endoribonuclease, found in archaea, bacteria and eukarya as well as chloroplasts and mitochondria. Its best characterised activity is the generation of mature 5'-ends of tRNAs by cleaving the 5'-leader elements of precursor-tRNAs. Cellular RNase Ps are ribonucleoproteins. The record is from RNAcentral. Lineage: Bacteria; Pseudomonadati; Bacteroidota; Bacteroidia; Bacteroidales.